This 21-nucleotide non-coding RNA is filed under the name Caenorhabditis elegans. Lineage: Eukaryota; Metazoa; Nematoda; Chromadorea; Rhabditida; Rhabditidae. The record is from RNAcentral.
UCAACACCGAUUUAAAAAUCU